GGAUCUAGUCAGGUCUGGGGAGAACUUAGGAGAUGGUAGACCUAAAUGCCAAAGACCCUGGUUCCUUGAGUGAUUAUGUGGAGAAAAGUCCACAUGCUAAACUGUGAACUGAGCAUGACGAGGACCUUUAUUUUUAUUUAGCUACCAAGACUAGGUAGUAUAGCUUGCUUACUCAUUUCAUACAAUUCAUGUGCCCAUUUCUCAGACAAGGAAAGAGAGACCCUUAGAAGUGACCAGCCUCUUCCACAGUAUUUUGAUGGUGUUUGUGAGGAUUGCUCACACAUACCCUUCAGCUGGCACCCAGGAUGGAGGCCUGCAGCUUCCUGAACACAGAAGAACUUCAAGAGUCUGAAAGGAGUUGCAGACGGUGUGAGAACCAGUCGCUCUUCAGACACUCCCACUUGGCUUCCACUAGGCUCAGUCUCCACUUCAAACACGAUAUAUUUUAGGAAACCGACUACUCACUGCUACUCAGCCCCAUCACUGAGGAAGCUUUCUUCAUUUGUCACAUGACAAGAUGGCAGAAAGAAAACCCUGGUACAUCAUGUCCUGAAGAAGAAACUUACAGAAACUUAGCCUAUGAAUUUAUGCUUUGCCAACAAGCACCGCCGUCACAAGGUUUCUGCUACAAAGAAAGCCAAUCUGUAUAAAUAUUCACUGUCAUAAUAAAUGGAAAUAGAGGGGCUAGAGAGGUAUCUCAGUGGUUAAGAACACUUCUUACUCUUGCAGAGGACCCAGGUUCAGUUCCUAGCACUCAUACUGGGCAGCUUACAACCAUCUGGAACUCCAGUUCUAAGGGGAAAUCCGAUGCCCUCUUCAGGCCUCUGUAGGCACUGCAUGCACA
Long non-coding RNA from Peromyscus eremicus (cactus mouse), 844 nucleotides. RefSeq lists it as uncharacterized. NCBI's taxonomy places the organism in Eukaryota, Metazoa, Chordata, Mammalia, Rodentia, Cricetidae. The record is from RefSeq and is a predicted model, not a curated record. The transcript has 3 exons.